This 450-nucleotide ribosomal RNA is filed under the name uncultured bacterium. RNAcentral's name for it is "partial 16S ribosomal RNA". It matches the Rfam family "Bacterial small subunit ribosomal RNA", at positions 354 to 796 of the family's 1533-position model. The record is from RNAcentral.
GUGGGGAAUUUUGGACAAUGGGCGAAAGCCUGAUCCAGCAAUGCCGCGUGCAGGAUGAAGGCCCUCGGGUUGUAAACUGCUUUUGUACGGAACGAAAAGCCUGGGGCUAAUAUCCCGGGGUCAUGACGGUACCGUAAGAAUAAGCACCGGCUAACUACGUGCCAGCAGCCGCGGUAAUACGUAGGGUGCAAGCGUUAAUCGGAAUUACUGGGCGUAAAGCGUGCGCAGGCGGUUUUGUAAGACAGUGGUGAAAUCCCCGGGCUCAACCUGGGAACUGCCAUUGUGACUGCAAGGCUAGAGUGCGGCAGAGGGGGAUGGAAUUCCGCGUGUAGCAGUGAAAUGCGUAGAUAUGCGGAGGAACACCGAUGGCGAAGGCAAUCCCCUGGGCCUGCACUGACGCUCAUGCACGAAAGCGUGGGGAGCAAACAGGAUUAGAUACCCCGGUAGUCC